GACGAACGCUGGCGGCGUGCUUAACACAUGCAAGUCGAACGGAACGGCCCUGCCUUUGUGCGGUGCUCGAGUGGCGAACGGGUGAGUAACACGUGAGUAACCUGUCCCUGACUUUGGGAUAACUUCAGGAAACUGGGGCUAAUACCGGAUAGGAGCUCCUGCUGCAUGGUGGGGGUUGGAAAGUUUCGGCGGUUGGGGAUGGACUCGCGGCUUAUCAGCUUGUUGGUGGGGUAGUGGCUUACCAAGGCUUUGACGGGUAGCCGGCCUGAGAGGGUGACCGGCCACAUUGGGACUGAGAUGCGGCCCAGACUCGUACGGGAGGCAGCGGUGGAGAAUGUUGCACAAUAGGCGGAAGCCUAGUGCAGCAACGCCGCGUGCGGGAUGACGGCCUGCGGGUUGUGAACCGCUUUCGCCUGUGACGAAGCGUGAAUGACGGUAAUGGGUGAAGAAGCACCGGCUAACUACGUG
This 468-nucleotide ribosomal RNA is filed under the name uncultured bacterium. RNAcentral's name for it is "partial 16S ribosomal RNA". It matches the Rfam family "Bacterial small subunit ribosomal RNA", at positions 28 to 507 of the family's 1533-position model. The record is from RNAcentral.